UACGUAGGGUGCAAGCGUUAAUCGGAAUUACUGGGCGUAAAGCGUGCGCAGGCGGUUGUGCAAGACCGAUGUGAAAUCCCCGGGCUCAACCUGGGAAUGGCAUUGGUGACUGCACGGCUAGAGUGUGUCAGAGGGGGGUAGAAUUCCACGUGUAGCAGUGAAAUGCGUAGAGAUGUGGAGGAAUACCGAUGGCGAAGGCAGCCCCCUGGGCCAAUACUGACGCUCAUGCACGAAAGCGUGGGGAGCAAACAGG
Molecule: ribosomal RNA, 253 nt
Filed under: uncultured bacterium
Lineage: Bacteria
Description: partial 16S ribosomal RNA
Rfam family: Bacterial small subunit ribosomal RNA
Source: RNAcentral